RNAcentral lists this ribosomal RNA (468 nucleotides) under uncultured bacterium. Its description in RNAcentral is "partial 16S ribosomal RNA". It matches the Rfam family "Bacterial small subunit ribosomal RNA", at positions 28 to 507 of the family's 1533-position model. The record is from RNAcentral.
GACGAACGCUGGCGGCGUGCUUAACACAUGCAAGUCGAACGGAAAGGCCCUGAUUUCGUGGGGUGCCGGAGUGGCGAACGGGUGAGUAACACGUGAGUAACCUGCUCUUGACUUUGGGAUAAGUUCAGGAAACUGGGGCUAAUAUCGGAUAGGAGCUCCUGCAGCAUGGUGGGGGUUGGAAAGUUUCGGCGGUUGGGGAUGGACUCGCGGCUUAUCAGCUUGUUGGUGGGGUAGUGGCUUACCAAGGCUUUGACGGGUAGCCGGCAUGGGAGGGUGGCCGGCCACAUGAGGACUGAGGUACGGCCCAGACGCGUACAGGAGGCAGCAGGGGGGAAUAUUGCACAGUGGGCGGGAGCCUGAUGCGACGGCGCCGCGGGCGGGAUGACGGCCUUCGGGUAGUGAACCGCUGUCGCCUGUGACGAAGCGUUAGUGACGGUAAUGGGUAAAGAAGCACCGGCUAACUACGUG